RNAcentral lists this ribosomal RNA (1056 nucleotides) under Triticum aestivum (bread wheat). RNAcentral describes it as "partial small subunit ribosomal RNA". The record is from RNAcentral. Lineage: Eukaryota; Viridiplantae; Streptophyta; Magnoliopsida; Poales; Poaceae.
AUGCUCGUUGCUUCCUCUUUGCUGCAGGAUGUAAAGAGCGUAAUAUGGAGACUGAAGACUGACCAGGAUGGCAAUAUUCAAAGCAUUGACGAGCGUGGCGCCAUUCAGAGUAACUAUGAUGGUUUGAAGGAAGUUCUGGAUGCUAGACGCAAGCUCUUUAAGAAAGUGAGAUCAAUGAGCAUUCAAGGAGUUCCAGUCACGCAGCCUUCCGAAAAUGAAACAUACAACAUGGUCGAGAUUGAGCUGGACGGCAAGGUUGUGCUGUGGCUUCUAUUUCGCCAAAGUAACGGUUAUCUGAUCGCAUUCUAUGUUGUUCCAACCAAGGAAAAUCCGGGUGGAUGGUUUCACUUUAAGGAUGUAAACCUUCCCUUUGAUCUGAAAGGGAAUAAGCUAAGUUGGGACAGUGGAUACACGAAGCAAGUGGGGAUAACUCUUGGUCAAGGGAUAACUCUGAACUUACUGGAAUGCCUCCUUGCUUUCACCCCCACCAAUUGUCACUUGAAAAUAUUCACUCCAGAGAACAGCAUUAGUAUUGGAGAUUGGAUAUAUGAUAGAGUUAGAUUGCUGCAGACAUUUAUGAUAUUAUUUGGGGAGUGUCAACGUUCAGGGGUGUUCUUGCAGUUUGCGGAGCAGAACUUUGAGAAUGGGGAUGCAGUCCCGCUUCAUGAAGAGUUGAACGAUCACUUACAUGAUUGGUCUAGCAUGGGCAGAUCAUUCCUUGCUUUAUAUGUUGCCCUGCUGCACAAGUACUAUGAGGUGCACGGAUGGAAUGACAAAUUGAUUAAAGCAGUGCAACAGAUGAAUGGUUCAGUCAAUGCCUUGUCAGCAAAGGAAGGACAUAAUCGCAUCAAAAACUACAUUGUUUAUGAGCAAAAUGAGGAUGGCAACCUAGUUCCCAACUACCCAGCCUCCAUGACAAGGCUCGCGGGAACUGGUACUGAUCAAUUGCUUCACUUGAUCAACUAUGACUCAGACCAUGUCAUUGAUGCACUCAUGACAAUGAUGAAACAUGGUGGUUCUCGCUCGUAUCCCGAGGUCGAUGUCAGGGAAGUUUGA